AUUGAACGCUGGCGGCAGGCCUAACACAUGCAAGUCGAGCGGAUGAAGGGAGCUUGCUCCUGGAUUCAGCGGCGGACGGGUGAGUAAUGCCUAGGAAUCUGCCUGGUAGUGGGGGAUAACGUCCGGAAACGGGCGCUAAUACCGCAUACGUCCUGAGGGAGAAAGUGGGGGAUCUUCGGACCUCACGCUAUCAGAUGAGCCUAGGUCGGAUUAGCUAGUUGGUGGGGUAAAGGCCUACCAAGGCGACGAUCCGUAACUGGUCUGAGAGGAUGAUCAGUCACACUGGAACUUGGACACGGUCCAGACUCCUACGGGAGGCAGCAGUGGGGAAUAUUGGACAAUGGGCGAAAGCCUGAUCCAGCCAUGCCGCGUGUGUGAAGAAGGUCUUCGGAUUGUAAAGCCCUUUAAGUUGGGAGGAAGGGCAGUAGGUUAAUACCUUGCUGUUUUGACGUUACCAACAGAAUAAGCACCGGCUAACUUCGUG
RNAcentral lists this ribosomal RNA (484 nucleotides) under uncultured bacterium. RNAcentral describes it as "partial 16S ribosomal RNA". It matches the Rfam family "Bacterial small subunit ribosomal RNA", at positions 30 to 507 of the family's 1533-position model. The record is from RNAcentral.